GGGAGCAAGAAGGUCUCUGCCAGUGGGGUCAUUCAGGUCGUCAGGCCCCAUACUCCCAUUAAUAAGGCUGCCUGAAAGAGAAGACAAUCCUCAACCCAGUAUGUCAGAGCUUUGAGAUCUGUAGCUACUGUCUCACUCUUCUGCAGUUUCACACACUCUAAGGGACGUGAGUCAUCAGAUUUUCUGAGAUAUCAGGGUCUGGCAGACAAUGCAGAAUAAUAAAAACAUUACCCUAGAAAUACAGAAGGAAACUCCUGUCUCAAGAAGAAAUUGAACGUACUCAAUGUGGAGGCCCAGAA
This 299-nucleotide long non-coding RNA is filed under the name Homo sapiens (human). Its description in RNAcentral is "non-protein coding lnc-F11-2:15". The record is from RNAcentral. Lineage: Eukaryota; Metazoa; Chordata; Mammalia; Primates; Hominidae.